GGGAGGGUGGCCGAGUGGUCUAAGGCGCAGGAUUAAGGCUCCUGUUCGAAAGAGCGCGGGUUCAAACCCCGUCCCUCUCA
This 80-nucleotide transfer RNA is filed under the name Haematococcus lacustris. RNAcentral's name for it is "Haematococcus pluvialis tRNA". It matches the Rfam family "tRNA". From Rfam's summary of the family: Transfer RNA (tRNA) molecules are approximately 80 nucleotides in length. Their secondary structure includes four short double-helical elements and three loops (D, anti-codon, and T loops). Lineage: Eukaryota; Viridiplantae; Chlorophyta; Chlorophyceae; Chlamydomonadales; Haematococcaceae. The record is from Rfam by way of RNAcentral.